RNAcentral lists this long non-coding RNA (217 nucleotides) under Phoenix dactylifera (date palm). RNAcentral's name for it is "long non-coding RNA (PDAC_LNC008199)". The record is from RNAcentral. Lineage: Eukaryota; Viridiplantae; Streptophyta; Magnoliopsida; Arecales; Arecaceae.
UCCAAGGAGUAGUAGCCAAUGUCCCCAUUCUCAUUUCCGAAGAUCUCAUUGCUAGGAUCCUCCACUUGUCUUGCGAUGGGAUCGCUCCCACACAUCCUACAGAUAGGACAGAGGCCCUUAUGGCCAUUUUAGGGAGACCACCCCAAUCCUCCAUCGAGGAGGUGUCUGCAAAUCAGCUUUCGGCUGAAAUGCGACUCCUCCUGAGCAUCAUAUCUAG